Molecule: ribosomal RNA, 523 nt
Filed under: uncultured bacterium
Lineage: Bacteria
Description: bacterial SSU rRNA
Rfam family: Bacterial small subunit ribosomal RNA
Source: RNAcentral
AGGGUUCGAUCAUGGCUCAGGAUGAACGCUAGCGGCAGACUUAACACAUGCAAGUCGAGGGGUAACAGGAGUGCUUGCACUCGCUGACGACCGGCGCACGGGUGCGUAACGCGUAUAGAACCUACCUUUUACUGAGGGAUAGCCUUUAGAAAUGAAGAUUAAUACCUCAUGGUAUUGCAAUUUGGCAUCAGAUUGUAAUUAAAGAUUUAUUGGUAAAAGAUGGCUAUGCGUCUUAUUAGCUAGAUGGUAAGGUAACGGCUUACCAUGGCAACGAUAAGUAGGGGCCCUGAGAGGGGGAUCCCCCACACUGGUACUGAGACACGGACCAGACUCCUACGGGAGGCAGCAGUGAGGAAUAUUGGGCAAUGGAGGCAACUCUGACCCAGCCAUGCCGCGUGCAGGAAGACUGCCCUAUGGGUUGUAAACUGCUUUUAUACAGGAAGAAACACACCUACGUGUAGGUGCUUGACGGUACUGUAAGAAUAAGCACCGGCUAACUCCGUGCCAGCAGCCGCGGUAAUAC